AUACCUUUCUCGGCCUUUUGGCUAAGAUCAAGUGUAGUAUCUGUUCUUAUCAGUUUAAUAUCUGAUAUGUGGGUCAGGGGAGGAUUCUUCACAGUAGCUUGCUGCUGGAAUCAUCAUUUAGUGUCGCUCAAGUGUUGCACUACACCUUCGGCCUGCCACACCCCAC
This 166-nucleotide small nuclear RNA is filed under the name Glycine max (soybean). Its description in RNAcentral is "snRNA U2". It matches the Rfam family "U2 spliceosomal RNA". From Rfam's summary of the family: U2 is a small nuclear RNA (snRNA) component of the spliceosome (involved in pre-mRNA splicing). The record is from Rfam by way of RNAcentral. Lineage: Eukaryota; Viridiplantae; Streptophyta; Magnoliopsida; Fabales; Fabaceae.